AAUAUUUCAGGGCACCAUGCAAGUAUUAUUAAGGAUAACUUGUCUCAAAAUGUCUGUAAUGCUCAUUGUUAUGCCAAAAGAUGCAUUCACUGGUUUAUCAUUGAUAACUGCCCUCCCAUGACUAAAUUGUACCACAGGAGGAAAUGGAAGAGCAAUAGGGGAAUGCACGUACACAUGAGGGGGAUGUCACCAAGGAUCAACUCUGGGAGUUGGUAUCUAACAAACUUGCACAUGCAGCAGAUGGGACAGAAUUGUUUCGGAUGGUAUGUGGAAUAAGGGGAAAUUUGGGGGACGAAAUGAGGUACGAAAGGGCUGAGUGAGAGUUUGGCUAGGAGUUAGCAGAACACUCAGGUCCGCUAUAUCUGAAUAUUAAUAAUAUCAGACAGGGAGGCUUGAUAAGGGAGUUUGUGCUGUACAGCAAAACAGCCCCAUACAGAACAAUGCAUGUGACCUAGAGUUACGCUAGUAGCUGAAAUACAUUUACUUUUGCAAAAACCAUCAGAAAAAUCCUUUCAAUCGAGAUUUGAAGUGAAUGCAAGUGUCUAAAUAAGUCAGUUACAAAAGCAGAAAAGUUUUUGAUUGAGAUUCUUGGCUCUACCUUACUAAUUAUAUAGGAUUUAAAUUCUAAAUAAACAAAGUGACGGAUAAAUGGGCUAAUUGCAUAAAUGCAUUAGGUAUGAAGUUUGAUUUAUCAGCUGAGUUGCAGCAAGAACUAACACAAUUGUAAUGCACCAAAGACACGGUAAAUGAGAAAGUAAACCAAACACACCUUUGUUAACAUCCUUUUAGCAAGUAUGUGAUAGUGACGUUGCCAUAUCCGUUGACCCACCAUAGUUGCCACCAAUACACUGUAAAAUAUCCCAAUUACUGUAAAAAGUCCCAGAACAAUCAAAGCCAUUAUGAAUAGUAAUGGUAGCCCUGCUUCCCCAGCACCUCCCAAACAACCACCACAUUCUGUUGCCAUGGUUCCACAGCCCUCAAAACAUGCAGUGCAAUCAGUCCACAAACAAAGAGUGCCUGGCAAAUGACAGUCAGCGCAAACUCUGCAACAACAGCAUACACAAAUAAAUAAAUAAAAACCUUAGUCAUUAAUCAUCAUUAACAUUCUGAAUUUCAGACGUCAAACCAACAAUAAGAUGCAUCACAUAUAAGCGAGCAUGAAUAAAUUACCAGCUGAGUUUUAUAUUCAUGUGAAAAAGAUAAAUCUUAUGCAUGUAAGAAAGUCCAAAAUUUAGACCAAAAUAAACACCAAAUACCAUCUCCAAUCAUAAUUCUGGCAUAAUAAAAUUAAGGGUUAAUGGUGCUUUACCCCCUUGUAAUAUAGGUCAUUUUUGGUUUUCUCCCCUGUAAAUUUUUUUUUUUGAUUUACCCCCUGUAAAAAAAAAAAAUUGGAAUACCCCACUAAUAGGUCAUAAAAAAACAACUUUAUUUUUUUUUUUUCCAGAAUUUUUUAGUUUUUUUAUGACCUAUUAGAGGGCAUUCCAUAAAAAAAAUAUUUUACAGGGGAAAAACCAAAAAUGACCUAUAUUACAGGGGGUAAAGCACCAUUAACCCUAAAAUUAAAUAAGAAAACAAAAAUCGCUAUAAUGACUACCAGAACGACAAGCACUUUUAUAUUUUGAAGGGGGUUCACAAAAUGUUUUAGUUGAAAAAACUCAUUACAAAAUGUAAGUGCAGUUACAAACGCUGUUUUGUGCUAAAGCAAUGAGAAUGGUUAAUAUACAAUAUCAUCAUCAUUGGAAAAAUUGUGUAGUGUACGCUAAAAUCUGGUAUUGCCAUUAUAUAUAAUAUAGUUAAUACUGAUACUAUGAAUAACGACGCUUCAAGCAGAUGCUAAGAGCAAACUUAUGUGUUUUUAACAGUGUCAAAGGCUCGUAAGCAUGUAAAAUAAGUGCUGUUACCCAGG
RNAcentral lists this long non-coding RNA (1906 nucleotides) under Medicago truncatula (barrel medic). Its description in RNAcentral is "long non-coding RNA (MTRU_LNC001015)". The record is from RNAcentral. Lineage: Eukaryota; Viridiplantae; Streptophyta; Magnoliopsida; Fabales; Fabaceae.